Hyaena hyaena (striped hyena) is the source of this 95-nucleotide small nucleolar RNA. RefSeq annotates it as small nucleolar RNA SNORD22. NCBI's taxonomy places the organism in Eukaryota, Metazoa, Chordata, Mammalia, Carnivora, Hyaenidae. The record is from RefSeq and is a predicted model, not a curated record. The transcript has a single exon.
UCCAAGUGAAGAGACAAUCACAUGUCUUACCUCCUGUCCUAGUCCCAGAGCCUGUAAAGGUGAACCACUGGGUUUGUCUAUAACCUUUUCUGCAU